ACGUUCACUAAUGUUGAAGUGCUAGCAUUAGCCCUGCUACUGGUGACGGUUAGUUAACAACAACAAACACUAGCUCCUUGUUAUUAAGUAUGGAAUAAUAAUAUCCCGCCAUAUCGAAAAAAAGACUUGUAACCGGAGACAACCUGAUCUCACAGAAAUAUGUGACAUACGCACGGAUGUCGUUGACUCUGCAUUACGUGGUAGUGAUGGGACGAACAACACUGGUCGAGUGCACAAGUGUGAUCAUCAUGAAAUCAUGUGACCGAUACAGGGAGUGUGUUGUUUGGAUGUGCCGCACCAAAUUGUGUUUAUAAGGAAACAAACUGUAUCGACAUGUUGCGUGUUUGUUGGAUGAAGAUUAAACUGUUUGCUGUGCCUGUUGGAUUUUUUGCUUUGCUUCCACUCAUGGAUUGUUCUAGAAAAUUUUCACAAGUCUGGAAUAAUUUUGAUCUUUUGACGCCAAAUAAGGUGAAGUGUCGGCUCUGCUCAACAGAAUUGUCUUACAUCAAUCAGAGCACGUCAUCAAUGCUGAGGCAUUAUAGAGCUCGGCAUGGCAAUGAAGAGUUGGCAGACACUCCUGCUUUCCUAACAAGCAAGCAUUGGAUGAGGCUGUGAUCAACAUGAUCAUCAAAGACUGUCAGCCACUCACCCUUGUAGAAAAUGAGGGAUUCAGGGCGCUCAUGCAGCUUGUUGCAUCCUCAUAUGUUCUACCAAGCAGGAAGGUAUGUGUAAGAAAUGUAUGGUUGAAUUAAUUAAUGAGUACUUUCGAUAGAUAGAUAGACAGACAGACAUGUAUGUAUUCAUAAGGUAUUACAAUAUUUGUAUGGUUAUUUUUAGACCGUCAAGGACUUGGUGAGAAAACAAAAAAAGGACCUUCAGAGCGCGGUUGCUGUUACUUUAACAGCUGACAUGUGGACCUCGAGGAUGAGAUCAUAUUCAAAGUAAAAGACUAGCAAUUGAAUAAAGAUUAAAUUUUAUUUCACAGGCUAAUGUUGGGUUAACAGCAUGCAAGUUUUUCCAUCUUUUCAUUUUGUUUACCUGCAAUGAUUUUAGAUCUACAGCAGAGAUCACUAUUGAGUAACCAACACAGCGUCAAUACAGUGUCAACACAGUUUGUGUAAUGUGUCAAUACACUCCUUGAGCCAUCAUCAAACCAUCCCUAUUACGUGGUACCGACACGAAAUGUGGUAAAAUUAAGUGCGGGCACCACGGAAAACUACGUGCGGCAGAAAAUAAAGGCAUGAAUGGAAAGCCUUUCUUCUUCUUGACAAACUGGACUGGUGCAAGAACGUGGACAUGGUCUACAGAAAGGGCCAGAGCCGCCUCUACUUUCUGAGGCGGCUGAGGUCCUUCAACAUCUGCAGGACGAUGCUGAGG
Scatophagus argus is the source of this 1377-nucleotide RNA transcript. It is a transcript of the gene named zinc finger BED domain-containing protein 4-like, with no coding region annotated. The transcript is spliced from 3 exons. Lineage: Eukaryota; Metazoa; Chordata; Actinopteri; Scatophagidae. The record is from RefSeq and is a predicted model, not a curated record.